GCAUAUCAAUAAGCGGAGGAAAAGAAACUAACAAGGAUUCCCCUAGUAACUGCGAGUGAAGCGGGAAAAGCUCAAAUUUGAAAUCUGACAGUGUAACUGCUGUUCGAGUUGUAAUUUCAAGAAGUGUUUUCUGUGCCAGACCGUGUACAAGUCUCCUGGAAUGGGGCGUCAUAGAGGGUGAGAAUCCCGUCUUUGACACGGACUUCAUAUGGUGCUCUGUGAUACACUCUCAAAGAGUCGAGUUGUUUGGGAAUGCAGCUCAAAAUGGGUGGUGAACUCCAUCUAAAGCUAAAUAUUGGCGAGAGACCGAUAGCGAACAAGUACCGUGAGGGAAAGAUGAAAAGCACUUUGGAAAGAGAGUGAAACAGUACGUGAAAUUGCUGAAAGGGAAACGAUUGAAGUCAGUCACAUUUGCUUGAAUUCAGCUACCCUUGUUGGUGGUGUAUUUUCAUUGUGAAUGGGUCAGCAUCACUUUUGGCUGCUGGACAAGGGCAGGAGAAAUGUGGCACUCUUUUUUAAGGAGUGUGUUAUAGUCUUCUGUCAUAUACAGUGGCUAGGAGUGAGGAACACCUUUGUAGGAUGCUGGCAUAAUGGCUUUAAACGACCCGUCUUGAAACACGGACCAAGGAGUCUAACAUGCAUGCGAGUGUUUGGGUGGUUAAAACUCAUGCGCGCAAUGAAAGUGAACAGUUGGGACGGCUGUCAUGGCCUGCACCGAUGCCUGGACUUGAGAUUUAUCGACGGUUCUACGGUCGAGCAUGUAUGUUAGGACCCGAAAGAUGGUGAACUAUGCCUGAAUAGGGUGAAGCCAGAGGAAACUCUGGUGGAGGCUCGUAGCGAUUCUGACGUGCAAAUCGAUCGUCAAAUUUGGGUAUAGGGGCGAAAGACUAAUCGAACCAUCUAGUAGCUGGUUCCUGCCGA
RNAcentral lists this ribosomal RNA (921 nucleotides) under Scytinostroma renisporum. Its description in RNAcentral is "LSU rRNA". It matches the Rfam family "Eukaryotic large subunit ribosomal RNA", at positions 38 to 964 of the family's 3401-position model. Lineage: Eukaryota; Fungi; Basidiomycota; Agaricomycetes; Russulales; Lachnocladiaceae. The record is from RNAcentral.